UAAUAAUAAAAGCCCAAGCCUUUUUAUUUACC
Molecule: transfer RNA, 32 nt
Filed under: Ursus arctos (brown bear)
Lineage: Eukaryota; Metazoa; Chordata; Mammalia; Carnivora; Ursidae
Description: partial tRNA-His
Source: RNAcentral